AGGGGAAGGGGAGGAUCCCUCAGCCUGGAUUAGGAGAGGGUGCAGGCCAGGCUGAGGGACCCCACCAGUGCAUG
RNAcentral lists this microRNA precursor (74 nucleotides) under Myotis davidii. RNAcentral describes it as "mir-9193 microRNA precursor family". It matches the Rfam family "mir-9193 microRNA precursor family". Lineage: Eukaryota; Metazoa; Chordata; Mammalia; Chiroptera; Vespertilionidae. The record is from Rfam by way of RNAcentral.